GGGAGUGAAUAUUGCACAAUGGGCGCAAGCCUGAUGCAGCCAUGCCGCGUGUGUGAAGAAGGCCUUCGGGUUGUAAAGCACUUUCAGUCGUGAGGAAGGUAGUGUAGUUAAUAGCUGCAUUAUUUGACGUUAGCGACAGAAGAAGCACCGGCUAACUCCGUGCCAGCAGCCGCGGUAAAUAAAAAAA
Molecule: ribosomal RNA, 187 nt
Filed under: uncultured Vibrio sp.
Lineage: Bacteria; Pseudomonadati; Pseudomonadota; Gammaproteobacteria; Vibrionales; Vibrionaceae
Description: partial 16S ribosomal RNA
Rfam family: Bacterial small subunit ribosomal RNA
Source: RNAcentral